RNAcentral lists this ribosomal RNA (301 nucleotides) under uncultured bacterium. RNAcentral's name for it is "partial 16S ribosomal RNA". It matches the Rfam family "Bacterial small subunit ribosomal RNA", at positions 509 to 807 of the family's 1533-position model. The record is from RNAcentral.
CAGUAGCCGCGGUAAAACAGAGGGUGCGAGCGUUAAUCGGAUUUACUGGGCGUAAAGCGUGCGUAGGCGGCUUCUUAAGUCGGAUGUGAAAUCCCUGAGCUUAACUUAGGAAUUGCAUUCGAUACUGGGAAGCUAGAGUAUGGGAGAGGAUGGUAGAAUUCCAGGUGUAGCGGUGAAAUGCGUAGAGAUCUGGAGGAAUACCGAUGGCGAAGGCAGCCAUCUGGCCUAAUACUGACGCUGAGGUACGAAAGCAUGGGGAGCAAACAGGAUUAGAUACCCGUGUAGUCCCUGUCUCUUAUAC